Nematolebias whitei (Rio pearlfish) is the source of this 95-nucleotide small nucleolar RNA. RefSeq annotates it as Z30 small nucleolar RNA. NCBI's taxonomy places the organism in Eukaryota, Metazoa, Chordata, Actinopteri, Cyprinodontiformes, Rivulidae. The transcript has a single exon. The record is from RefSeq and is a predicted model, not a curated record.
CUGCAGUGAUGAUUUUAUAUGUCUGACCUGGAAUUGCUGGUCUCUGGGUCAGCUCUGGCCAGGAAAUGACUUCAGUUAAUCUUCUCUCUGAGCAG